This 497-nucleotide ribosomal RNA is filed under the name uncultured bacterium. RNAcentral's name for it is "partial 16S ribosomal RNA". It matches the Rfam family "Bacterial small subunit ribosomal RNA", at positions 28 to 507 of the family's 1533-position model. The record is from RNAcentral.
GACGAACGCUGGCGGCGUGCCUAAUACAUGCAAGUUGAGCGCUGAAGGUUGGUACUUGUACCAACUGGAUGAGCAGCGAACGGGUGAGUAACGCGUGGGGAAUCUGCCUUUUAGCGGGGGACAAUAUUUGGAAACGAAUGCUAAUACCGCAUAAAAACUUUAAACACAAGAUUUAAGUUUGAAAGAUGCAAUUGCAUCACUCAAAGAUGAUCCCGCGUUGUAUUAGCUAGUUGGUGAGGUAAAGGCUCACCAAGGCGAUGAUACAUAGCCGACCUGAGAGGGGGAACGGCCACAACGGGACCGAGAACCGGCCCAAGCUCCCACGGGAGGCAGCAGUAGGGAAACUUCGGAAAUGGACGAAAGGCUGACCGAGCAACGCCGCGUGAGUGAAGAAGGGUUUCGGAUCGUAAAACUCUGUUGGUAGAGAAGAACGUUGGGGAGAGUGGAAAGCUCAUCAAGUGACGGUAACUACCCAGAAAGGGACGGCUAACUACGUG